GAAAGAGAUGCACUCAAGUUCAUGGGACAGGUGCACGGACGUCUUUGUGUUUAGGUUGAGGAAAACUGUCACCCACUAGCUUCCUGCCACUCUCCACUCUUGGGUUUCCCUCCUGGGUGAGUGCCCAUUCACUCACAAUGGAGCCGGGAGGAAGCAUCUGGAAGCCUUUUUGGAGAAAGAGGAGAGAGGCCAGCACUUCAAAUCAGGAGAGGAGUUGAGCUAGCAGGCCACAGCCACAGGAGGUUAGGGUGGGCUAGGGCGCCAUUGCCCCAGUUUGGGAGGCUCCAGACCCAGACAGCGAGAAUGCCACUAGCCUCAGGCUUGAGCCCUAUGCCUGGUGCCAUUCAGCUGCCACCUAUUUGGAUCCUAAUGUGCUUUGGGACCCCAGCAGUCAUAUGCCAGAGGUGGGCUCCUCUCUUGUCCUUCUGCUGGUCCCUCCUCCCGAGUUCCAGCCCCUGUGGGUCCUCCCUGCUCAUCCUUCAAGCCCUGAAAAGUCAACCCUUCUACAGACAGAACAUGGCAUCUGCGGAUCCAGUGAGCUCCGUAUCCUGAACUGCCUGCUGCCCCCAGAGGUAAUUAUCACUCCCCAGUUACACACUGGAGAUGCCAGAAUCACCUUUGCCUCCUUCCUCUCUCUCCACCUUCCAGAACCCCAGUCAGACUUCCUGGCCUCUUCGGCCUUCCUUCUGAGUGGUUGCUAGCUUCUUCUCUUACUCCAUGCCCCCAUCUCUCUGGGACACCUCCUCGGAGGUCUUGCCUCUCAUCUCCCAUCUUCUACCUUCUCAGGCUGUCAAGAUGCUCUUCCUAAAACACUGUUGUCACCACGUCAUUCUCCCUACUCACCGGCACUGGCUCCUCAUUGCUAGAAGGUGGAAACUCCUCAGCACAGCAUUGGAAGUGCCCUAGAAACAGCCCAGCCCAGCUUCCCACCUGUCUCUGACUCAUCUCUCCUUCUGACCCACAGUUCUGCCCACUGUCCUUGGAACUCCCACCAUCAAGUCACAGUGCAGCUUUCUGUAUUCAGCGAUGUAUUAGGUAUAAACCUUAGCGCGUUCAGGAAACUUCUCUAAGCCUAGGCAACUACACCAGAGUGUCAUCGCUGUGAGCUUUAAAUGAGAGAUGCAUGUAAAGUGCUUAGCAGUGUGCCUGGCAGAGAGCUCGAUAAAUGUCAGCUCUUGUCACUUGAUCUCACCCAUUUCUUUGCCACAAAGUCUUUUCAUAUCCACGAGCACAUUACAAGAAUUACAUCAUGUGAACCACCACGUUAUGUGAUUCACUGCCUUGCUACACCACCAUAUGGCUUGUUCAUGACCUUUUCUCUCAUAUGAAAGGCCAAUGUUAAGGGCAGGACAUGUGUCUUGUUCAUUGUUUCAUUGUGACCGUGUCAUGGUGAUCGUGACGCCUGGUGUGUGGUGAGUGUUGACAGAUGAAGUGUAUCCAAGGGACCUAGUGCAGAGGGAAUCAGCCACACAGCCCACAGGUUGUGCUCUGCGCUAGGAUGCCCGGCUGGGCAUGGGAGUGAAGAGGGGUUCCCUUCACAAAGCCGGAGGUGGGACUGCGUCCAUCAUGGGAAAAAAGUGGCUGUGUUAGCUGCCUAGGGCUACCAUAACAAAGUGCCACUCACCUGGGGACUUAAAACAAUACAGAUUUGUCAUCUCACUGUUCUGGAGGUCAAAAUCAAGCUGUCACUGAGACUAGGCCCCCUCUGAAACCCGAAGGGGAGGAAUCUUCCUUCCGUCUUCUAGCUCCUGGUGGCCAUCAAUCCUUGGCUUACAGCUGCAUCACCCCAAUCUCUGCCUCUGUUGUCAUGUGGCAUUCUCCCCUUGUGUCUGUGUCCAAAUGUCCCUCUUCUUAUAGGACACCAGUCAUGUGUGACUAGAGCCCACCGUCUCUCAGAAUGACCCCAUCUUAACUUGAUUCCGCCUGCAAAGAAUUGAUUUCCAAAUAAGGUCACUUUCACCGGUACAGGGGAUAGGAUUUCAACAUAUCUUUUUGGGGGACACAACUCAACCCACAACAGGUGCCUUUUAUAAUUCACACAAAAGUACUGUCUGCUUGUGCCUGGGGGCUGCAUCCACCCGGAAGUGGUCUUUGUGCAAAUUAGAAAAAGGAUGCUCCAUGGUGGGUGAUGGUAGGCAUUGGCCAUGGGAUCUUCUCUUUGAGGACAUGCAGAAGCCAGCUUAAAACAACAAAGACUAUUAUCACAGAGGUCCUGAGGGAGGCGCUCAGCUGGGAGAGUCUGGCCUUGGGGUGUCAGGCGGCAGGGGGCUGUUGACCACGACUCCAGCAUCUCAAGGAUGGAGCAGGCCGGAAGGAUUGGCUUUCGAGUUCACUCAUGUGGUUGUUGACAGGUCUGAAUUCCUUGCGGUGGGACGGAGCCCUCAGUUCUUUGUCAGGUGGGGCUCUCCACAGACCUAUCU
Equus caballus (horse) is the source of this 2420-nucleotide long non-coding RNA. The record is from Ensembl. Lineage: Eukaryota; Metazoa; Chordata; Mammalia; Perissodactyla; Equidae.